Molecule: ribosomal RNA, 228 nt
Filed under: uncultured bacterium
Lineage: Bacteria
Description: partial 16S ribosomal RNA
Rfam family: Bacterial small subunit ribosomal RNA
Source: RNAcentral
UCCGUAGGCGGGCAAUUAAGUCAGAGGUGAAAUCCCACAGCUCAACUGUGGAACUGCCUUUGAUACUGGUUGUCUUGAGUUAUAGUGAAGUAGAUAGAAUAUGUAGUGUAGCGGUGAAAUGCUUAGAGAUUACAUAGAAUACCGAUUGCGAAGGCAGUCUACUAACUAUAUACUGACGCUAAUGGACGAAAGCGUGGGGAGCGAACAGGAUUAGAUACCUGGUAGUCC